RNAcentral lists this transfer RNA (71 nucleotides) under Octopus vulgaris (common octopus). It matches the Rfam family "tRNA". From Rfam's summary of the family: Transfer RNA (tRNA) molecules are approximately 80 nucleotides in length. Their secondary structure includes four short double-helical elements and three loops (D, anti-codon, and T loops). Lineage: Eukaryota; Metazoa; Mollusca; Cephalopoda; Octopoda; Octopodidae. RNAcentral also lists the same sequence under 1 other name. The record is from Rfam by way of RNAcentral.
GGUUCUAUGGUGUAAUGGUUAGCACUCUGGACUCUGAAUCCAGCGAUCCGAGUCAAGUCUCGGUAGAACCU